GACGAACCGUGCGAACGUUAUUCGGAAUCACUGGGCUUAAAGCGCGUGUAGGCGGGCCGGCACGUCUGUCGCUGAAAUCCCCCGGCUUAACCGGGGAACUGGCGGAGAUACGACCGUCCUGGAGGGGCGUAGGGGGACCUGGAACUUCCGGUGGAGCGGUGAAAUGCGUUGAGAUCGGAAGGAACGCCCGUGGCGAAAGCGAGGUCCUGGACGCCUACUGACGCUGAGGAGCGAAAGCGUGGGGAGCGAACAGG
This 254-nucleotide ribosomal RNA is filed under the name uncultured bacterium. RNAcentral describes it as "partial 16S ribosomal RNA". It matches the Rfam family "Bacterial small subunit ribosomal RNA", at positions 524 to 776 of the family's 1533-position model. The record is from RNAcentral.